GAUGAACGCUAGCUACAGGCUUAACACAUGCAAGUCGAGGGGCAGCAUGGUCUUAGCUUGCUAAGGCCGAUGGCGACCGGCGCACGGGUGAGUAACACGUAUCCAACCUGCCGUCUACUCUUGGACAGCCUUCUGAAAGGAAGAUUAAUACAAGAUGGCAUCAUGAGUCCGCAUGUUCACAUGAUUAAAGGUAUUCCGGUAGACGAUGGGGAUGCGUUCCAUUAGAUAGUAGGCGGGGUAACGGCCCACCUAGUCUUCGAUGGAUAGGGGUUCUGAGAGGAAGGUCCCCCACAUUGGAACUGAGACACGGUCCAAACUCCUACGGGAGGCAGCAGUGAGGAAUAUUGGUCAAUGGGCGAGAGCCUGAACCAGCCAAGUGGCGUGAAGGAUGACUGCCCUAUGGGUUGUAAACUUCUUUUAUAAAGGAAUAAAGUCGGGUAUGGAUACCCGUUUGCAUGUACUUUAUGAAUAAGGAUCGGCUAACUCCGUGCCAGCAGCCGCGGUAAUACGGAGGAUCCGAGCGUUAUCCGGAUUUAUUGGGUUUAAGGGGAGCGUAGAUGGAUGUUUAAGUCAGUUGUGAAAGUUUGCGGCUCAACCGUAAAAUUGCAGUUGAUACUGGAUAUCUUGAGUGCAGUUGAGGCAGGCGGAAUUCGUGGUGUAGCGGUGAAAUGCUUAGAUAUCACGAAGAACUCCGAUUGCGAAGGCAGCCUGCUAAGCUGCAACUGACAUUGAGGCUCGAAAGUGUGGGUAUCAAACAGGAUUAGAUACCCUGGUAGUCCACACGGUAAACGAUGAAUACUCGCUGUUUGCGAUAUACGGCAAGCGGCCAAGCGAAAGCGUUAAGUAUUCCACCUGGGGAGUACGCCGGCAACGGUGAAACUCAAAGGAAUUGACGGGGGCCCGCACAAGCGGAGGAACAUGUGGUUUAAUUCGAUGAUACGCGAGGAACCUUACCCGGGCUUAAAUUGCAGAUGAAUUACGGUGAAAGCCGUAAGCCGCAAGGCAUCUGUGAAGGUGCUGCAUGGUUGUCGUCAGCUCGUGCCGUGAGGUGUCGGCUUAAGUGCCAUAACGAGCGCAACCCUUGUUGUCAGUUACUAACAGGUCAUGCUGAGGACUCUGACAAGACUGCCAUCGUAAGAUGUGAGGAAGGUGGGGAUGACGUCAAAUCAGCACGGCCCUUACGUCCGGGGCUACACACGUGUUACAAUGGGGGGGUACAGAGGGCCGCUACCACGCGAGUGGAUGCCAAUCCCCAAAACCUCUCUCAGUUCGGACUGGAGUCUGCAACCCGACUCCACGAAGCUGGAUUCGCUAGUAAUCGCGCAUCAGCCACGGCGCGGUGAAUACGUUCCCGGGCCUUGUACACACCGCCCGUCAAGCCAUGGGAGCCGGGGGUACCUGAAGUGCGUAACCGCGAGGAGCGCCCUAGGGUAAAACUGGUGACUGGGGCUA
RNAcentral lists this ribosomal RNA (1452 nucleotides) under uncultured bacterium. RNAcentral's name for it is "bacterial SSU rRNA". It matches the Rfam family "Bacterial small subunit ribosomal RNA". The record is from RNAcentral.